GAGCCAAAUCUGCCUUGUCCGUAGCAUUCCUUGGAAAGCUGCACAAAUUGAAUGCCACCACCUUACCCUUUAUAUAAGUAGGAUAUGAGGUUA
This is a small nucleolar RNA of Quercus robur (English oak), 93 nucleotides long. RefSeq annotates it as small nucleolar RNA SNORD116. NCBI's taxonomy places the organism in Eukaryota, Viridiplantae, Streptophyta, Magnoliopsida, Fagales, Fagaceae. The record is from RefSeq and is a predicted model, not a curated record. The transcript has a single exon.